GACGAACGCUGGCGGCGUGCUUAACACAUGCAAGUCGAGCGAGAUCCAUCCAGUGGCAACACUGGUGAAGAUCUAGCGGCGAACGGGUGAGUAACACGUGAGCAACCUGCCCCGAAGACCGGGAUAACAGCGGGAAACCGCUGCUAAUACCGGAUGCCCUCACCGGGCCGCAUGACCUGGUGAGGAAAUGGCUGAGUCUUAAAUAAACUCAGUCCGCGUUCGGGGAGGGGCUCGCGGGCUAUCAGCUUGCUGGUGAGGUAACGGCUCACCAAGGCUACGACGGCUAGCUGGUCUGAGAGGACGACC
Molecule: ribosomal RNA, 306 nt
Filed under: uncultured bacterium
Lineage: Bacteria
Description: bacterial SSU rRNA
Rfam family: Bacterial small subunit ribosomal RNA
Source: RNAcentral